Small nuclear RNA from Homo sapiens (human), 104 nucleotides. Lineage: Eukaryota; Metazoa; Chordata; Mammalia; Primates; Hominidae. The record is from Ensembl.
GUGCUCUCUUCAGCAGCACAUAUACUAAAAUUGGAAUGAUACAGAGGUUAGUAUGACCCCUGUGCAAGAAUGACACACAAAUUCAUGAAGCAUUUCAUAUAAAG